This 447-nucleotide ribosomal RNA is filed under the name uncultured bacterium. RNAcentral's name for it is "bacterial SSU rRNA". It matches the Rfam family "Bacterial small subunit ribosomal RNA", at positions 355 to 825 of the family's 1533-position model. The record is from RNAcentral.
UCGGGAAUUUUGUGCAAUGGGCGAAAGCCUGACACAGCAACGCCGCGUGAAGGAUGAAGUCCCUCGGGAUGUAAACUUCGUAAGAAUAGGAAGAAUAAAUGACGGUACUAUUUGUAGGGUCCGGCUAACUACGUGCCAGCAGCCGCGGUAAUACGUAGGGACCAAGCGUUGUUCGGAUUUACUGGGCGUAAAGGGUGCGUAGGCGGCAUAUCAAGUCACUUGUGAAAUCUCCGGGCUUAACUCGGAACGGUCAGAUGAUACUGCUUUGCUAGAGUGCAGAAGGGGCAAUCGGAAUUCUUGGUGUAGCGGUGAAAUGCGUAGAUAUCAAGAGGAACACCUGAGGUGAAGACGGGUUGCUGGGCUGACACUGACGCUGAGGCGCGAAAGCCAGGGGAGCAAACGGGAUUAGAUACCCCCGUAGUCCCUGAGCGGGCUGGCAAGGCGCAU